RNAcentral lists this non-coding RNA (965 nucleotides) under Pongo abelii (Sumatran orangutan). The record is from RNAcentral. Lineage: Eukaryota; Metazoa; Chordata; Mammalia; Primates; Hominidae.
AGCCCUCAGCGUACAUGCCAGCUAAUUACAGAUGCAGGAGCAAACCCCUGGCCCAUACAUCAGUUGGGUGUGGUGACUCACACCUGCAAUCCCAGCACUUUGGGAGGCUGAGGAGAGCAGAUCACUUGAGGCCAGGAGUUCGAGACCAGUCUGGGCAACAUAGAUUUUGGAAGCAUUGCCUUCUACAGAAUCCACAGUAGUCCGAAGUUCUUCUACGGUUUUUGUCAAACUUUGAUUUUCCAUCUCUAGCUUCAAUAAUCUACUUGAUGUCAACUCAUUCACCUCAUGGCCCAGGGAUUUCUGCGGUGCUAUAAUAUUGAAAAAUACACCAUUGUAUUUACUCUGUACUGUUUUUACUAUGUUUACUCUUUACUAUUUAAAAAGUUGAGUGUAUAUGCAUUGCAUCAUCUGAUCUUUAACUUUAUUAAAAAUUCAAUGGGGUUAUGUAAGAUAAACAAGAUAAGAGAGGUAAAUCUUUUUUUUCCUUUUCUUUUUUUCUUUUUUUAAAGAGACGGGGUGUCUCUCUGUCAUCCAGGUUGGAGUGCAGUGAUGUGUUCCUAGCUCACUGCAGCCUCAAACUCCUGGUCUGAAGGGAUCCUCCCACCUCAGUCUCCCAAGCAGCCGGGACUACAGGUACAGCCAGCUAGUUUUUUUAUUUUUUAGUAAAGACUGGGUCUCUGUUACUUAGGCUGGUCUCGAACUCCUGAGCUCAAGCAAUCCUCCUGCCUUGGCCUCCCAAAGUGCUGGGAUUACCGGCAUGAGCCGCUGCACCCAGCCAAGAGAUACGUUUAACUUUUAAUGCAUCCACAGCAUUCUAGUUAAAAAAAGCAUAAAAUUUAGAUUGAAGAAAUUGGAGUUCAAGCAGACCCAUUAAAUAUUUUGCUGAUAUAAGAACAUUAGGAUUUACAAAUGAAAUAUGAGACCUACUAUUUCAAGAAAGGAAAUGAAUAAAGGUACUGGAGGGA